This 452-nucleotide ribosomal RNA is filed under the name uncultured bacterium. Its description in RNAcentral is "bacterial SSU rRNA". It matches the Rfam family "Bacterial small subunit ribosomal RNA", at positions 340 to 786 of the family's 1533-position model. The record is from RNAcentral.
UACGGGAGGCAGCAGUGGGGAAUAUUGCACAAUGGGCGCAAGCCUGAUGCAGCCAUGCCGCGUGUAUGAAGAAGGCCUUCGGGUUGUAAAGUACUUUCAGUCGUGAGGAAGGUGUUAAGGUUAAUAACCUUAGCAAUUGACGUUAGCGACAGAAGAAGCACCGGCUAACUCCGUGCCAGCAGCCGCGGUAAUACGGAGGGUGCGAGCGUUAAUCGGAAUUACUGGGCGUAAAGGGCACGCAGGCGGUUAAUUAAGUUGGAUGUGAAAUCCCCGGGCUUAACCUGGGAAUGGCAUUCAAGCUGGUUAGCUAGAGUCUUGUAGAGGGGGUAGAAUUCCAUGUGUAGCGGUGAAAUGCGUAGAGAUGUGGAGGAAUACCGGUGGCGAAGGCGGCCCCUGGACAAAGACUGACGCUCAUGUGCGAAAGCGUGGGGAGCAAACAGGGAUUAGAUACC